UACGUAGGGUGCGAGCGUUAAUCGGAGUUACUGGGCGUAAAGCGUGCGCAGGCGGCCCUUCAAGUCAGGCGUGAAAUCCCCGGGCUUAACCUGGGAAUGGCGUCUGAAACUAGAGGGCUGGAGUGUGGCAGAGGGAGGUAGAAUUCCACGUGUAGCGGUGAAAUGCGUAGAUAUGUGGAGGAAUACCGAUGGCGAAGGCAGCCUCCUGGGCCAACACUGACGCUCAUGCACGAAAGCGUGGGGAGCAAACAGGAUUAGAUACCCGUGUAGU
This 271-nucleotide ribosomal RNA is filed under the name uncultured bacterium. RNAcentral's name for it is "partial 16S ribosomal RNA". It matches the Rfam family "Bacterial small subunit ribosomal RNA", at positions 524 to 794 of the family's 1533-position model. The record is from RNAcentral.